This 446-nucleotide long non-coding RNA is filed under the name Lathyrus oleraceus (garden pea). Its description in RNAcentral is "Pisum sativum (pea) long non-coding RNA (PSAT_LNC023514)". The record is from RNAcentral. Lineage: Eukaryota; Viridiplantae; Streptophyta; Magnoliopsida; Fabales; Fabaceae.
UUUUUCUAGCUACACCUCAAUUCUUAGUCUGUUUUUAUCUUUUGUAUAUUUUUUUUAUUUAUUAUUUAUUUAUUAUUGUUUUAUCUAUUUAUUUUGUUCUUUCUUUUAUUUCCUUUAGUUUUUUUUUAAAUUCUUUUACCUCUUGUAUUGGUAGUGUGCCCCUCCCUUUUAUUAUUUAUUUUACCUUUUUUAUUAUUUUAUUUUAUAUUUUAUUUUAUUAUAUUUUUAGUUGAUGCAUAAUUAUUAAUCCAAAAAGACAAAAUGAUUAUUAAAAUUAACCAUUCAAAAAUACUAAAAUCAAAGGUGUUUGAUCAACAUCAAGUAUAUUUUUCAAAAUGAUUUUCAAAUCCCUUUCCGUUUCAAGUGCAAAUUAAAACCUCAAUUUAUAUCGGGUAUUUUAUCCAAAUUAACUAAGAUACUUAAUUAUACUUAAAACACCAUUUCAU